GAUGAACGCUGGCGGCGUGCCUAAUACAUGCAAGUCGAGCGAACGGACGAGAAGUUUGCUUCUCUGAUGUUAGCGGCGGACGGGUGAGUAACACGUGGAUAACCUACCUAUAAGACUGGGAUAACUUCGGGAACCCGGAGCUAAUACCGGAUAAUAUUUUGAACCGCAUGGAUCAAAAGUGAAAGACGGUCUUGCUGUCACUUAUAGAUGGAUCCGCGCUGCAUUAGCUAGUUGGUACGGUAACGGCUUACCAAGGCAACGAUGCGUAGCCGACCUGAGAGGAUGAUCGGCCACACUGGAACUGAGACACGGUCCAGACUCCUACGGGAGGCAGCAGUAGGGAAUCUUCCGCAAUGGGCGAAAGCCUGACGGAGCAACGCCGCGUGAGUGAUGAAGGUCUUCGGAUCGUAAAACUCUGUUAUUGGGGAAGAACAUAUGUGUAAGUAACUGUGCACAUCUUGACGGUACCUACUCAGAAAGCCACGGCUAACUACGUG
Molecule: ribosomal RNA, 497 nt
Filed under: uncultured bacterium
Lineage: Bacteria
Description: partial 16S ribosomal RNA
Rfam family: Bacterial small subunit ribosomal RNA
Source: RNAcentral